Molecule: ribosomal RNA, 143 nt
Filed under: uncultured eukaryote
Lineage: Eukaryota
Description: partial 18S ribosomal RNA
Rfam family: Eukaryotic small subunit ribosomal RNA
Source: RNAcentral
UGGUGGAGCGAUUUGUCUGGUCAAUUCCCAUAACGAACGAGACUCUAGCCUACUAAAUAGUUCGGGGACCCCCACAAAGGGGCCCCGCUUCAACUUCUUAGAGGGACAGGUGGCGUUUAGCCACACGAGAUUGAGCAAUAACA